GAUGAACGCUGACAGAAUGCUUAACACAUGCAAGUCGAUUCGAUUUACCUUCGGGUAUUGAGGAUGGCGGACGGGUGAGUAACGCGUAAGGAACGUUGCCUCUUGGACUGGGACAACUGUUGGAAACGACAGCUAAUACCGGAUAUUAUGAGAUUCUCGCAUGAGAAACUUAUGAAAGCUAUAUGCGCCAAGAGAGAGCCUUGCGUUCCAUUAGCUAGGUUGGUGGGUAAUGGCCCACCAAGGCGACGAUGGAUAGCCGGCCUGAGA
Molecule: ribosomal RNA, 267 nt
Filed under: uncultured bacterium
Lineage: Bacteria
Description: partial 16S ribosomal RNA
Rfam family: Bacterial small subunit ribosomal RNA
Source: RNAcentral